Molecule: RNA transcript, 2603 nt
Organism: Mercurialis annua (annual mercury)
Lineage: Eukaryota; Viridiplantae; Streptophyta; Magnoliopsida; Malpighiales; Euphorbiaceae
Exons: 3
Source: RefSeq, a predicted model, not a curated record
AUGCUCAUAGCACUAUAGCAGCAAUGCGGCCAGAUAAUCGGCUAGUUUGCACUAAAACCCUAAUCCAUUUUCAAAGCCAACGUCUCUUCUUCUCGCUGCAAAAUUGAAUCAAUCAACAGAACAGAAUGAAACUCUUCGAAGGCGACGACGACAACGCAAACAUCGACGUUUCGAAGAUCGAAAUUGACGAGAAAUUCGCUCGCCGAUACGAACACAAUAAGAAACGCGAGGAUUUGCAACGGUACGAAGAGCUGAAGAAGAAAGGCCAAAUUGAAGACUCCGAAUCCGAAUCGGAAUCCGAUUCAGAAUCCGACGAAGUUGAACUCAAGAAAUUAAACGAAAAAAAAGACUUCAAGGAGUUCAUCGAUAAUUUAAUCAAGGUAAAACAACGUGACCCUUCUAUUUAUCAAAAAGACGUUAAAUUAUUCGAAUCCGAUAGCGGUAGCGAUGAUAGUGAGUUAGAAAAUGAGGUUAGGAGUAGUAAAAAUAAGAAAAAAGCUGUUUAUUUGAAAGAUGUUACGGCUCAGCAUUUAAUUGAGGAGGGGGCGGAAUUCGAUGAGGAAGAAGAAGGGGAGCGGAAUAAUACCCGGAUUGAAAAUAAGACGUACAAUGAAGAGCAGGAGGAGUUGAAGAAGUCGUUUUUAGAGGCGGUGAAGGCUGAUGAGGGGAAUGAUGUUGAUAGUGAAGGGGGAUUGUUGAAAGUUAAGGAGAAGAAGAAAGGGGAUUUAGGAGAGGAAAAUGAUGUGGAGCUCGAGGAUAAGCUGCGAAAGUAUUUUGGUGAUGAGGAGGAAUUGGAUGAGAAUAAUAAGUUUUUGAAGGAUUUUAUUGAGAAACAAAUGUGGAUUGAUGGGGAUAGUAAGAGUAGAAGGGGUGUUGAUGACGAUGAAGUGGAUGAUUUAUUGAAAGAUGAUGAGGAGAUUGAGAAACAGGAAUUGUAUGAGGAGAGUUAUAAUUUUAGGCAUGAAGAGAAUCCGGGGGAUAGGGUUUUGGGUCAUUCGAGGGUAGUAGAAGGAUCGGUGAGGAAAAAAGAGAAUUCUAGGAAAGAACAGAGGAAGAGAAAGAAGGAGAGAAUGGAGAUAGCGGAAAUGGAGAGGAAGGAAGAGUUGAAGCACUUGAAGAACUUGAAAAAGAAGGAGAUGAAGGAAAAAUUGAUGAAGAUUGUGCAGGUUGCUGGGGUCGAUGAUCAUGAUGAUUUUGGUUUGGGUUUGGAUGAUUUAAAGAAGGAUUUUGAUCCAGAAGAGUAUGAUAAAAUGAUGAAGAAGGCUUUUGGCGAAAAGUAUUAUAACACAGAUGAUGUCAAUGCAGAAUUCGGGAGUGAUAACGACGAUGGCGAUGAAAAACCUGAUUUUGAUAAGGAGGAUGAAUUACUUGGACUUCCAAAAGGGUGGGAUGGAGUGGAUAAUGAGGGAUUUUUAGCUCUUAGAGAACGUCUUUUGAAACAGAAGAAUGAAAAUGGCAGUGGCAUUGGUGGUAACGAGGAAGAAAAAGAAGAGGAAGAAGAUGAUGACGAUGAGGAGGAGGAGGAAGAGGAUGGAGAAGAAGAGGAAAAAGAGGGCAAAACGAGGAGGGAUAGGGAAAGUAAGCGGAAAAGGAAGCGGAAGAAGUCGCUUCUGCAGGAAGUGAAAGAAGAAUGGUUGGAGGAGUACUAUAAGUUGGAUUAUGAGGGUACAGUUGGAGACUUGAAGACAAGGUUCAAGUACGCUAGAGUGCAACCUGAAAAAUUUGGAUUAGAUACAGCCGAGAUAUUUACUUUGGAUGACCAGGAAUUGAAUCAAUAUGUGUCUGUUAAGAAGCUUGCACCUUAUAGAGAGAGUGAAUGGAAAGUAAAUAAGUACAAGGAAAGACAGUUUAAGGAGAAGCUUAGAGAGCUCCGAGAGGGAAAAUCCGAUGACCAGAAGAACCGAAAGAAGAAUAAGUUGCAGGAUAAUGGUGAUAAAUCAACCUCAGAAAGACAGUUUAAGGAGAAGAUUAAAGAGACCCGUUUGGGAAAAUCCAAUAACCAGAAGAUUAGAAAGAAGAAUAAGUUGCAGGAUAAUGGUGACAAGUCGACCUUAGAUGGAGGUUCUCAUCAAGACGAGAAAGAAAAAGUAGAUUCUCAUCAAGACGAGAAAGAAAAAGUAGAAGUAUCAAAUGUCGAGAUGAACAAUCUUUCCAGAAAAGCCAAGAGGAAGCGUAAUCAAGCGGAGUACAAGCUUUCACAAUCUCGAAUGGAAGCUUACCAAAAUAUUCAAUCAAAGGCUAAAGGAAAACGGAAGCUCUAAAUUCAAUCAGUAAACAAGGUAGUGAAUGUGUUCUGAGCAUCUACUUUCGUUGAUUGCAUACGGAUUCGGUCUUAUGUCGUUUUUUCCUUCUUCACUAAUACAUCGGCGUUAUGCUAAGGGACCUCAAUCCCGUAUCGCAGAUUGAUAGAGAUCUCUCUAAAUGGAAGAAGAAUUAGAAGUUUUGUUGCGGCGGAUAAAAUUUUUGCACUCCAGAAUUUUGUAACAUUGUAUCUUGCUGAUUGUUUGUUUGUACUCAUCUUGAAUUUUCCAGACUGCUUCAGAUUAUUGAAUACUUGUCCUCAGAACUUUUUGUUAAAGAAUUUGCAUCUUUUUUUAUUGUAA